Molecule: small nuclear RNA, 201 nt
Gene: U2
Rfam family: U2 spliceosomal RNA
About the family: U2 is a small nuclear RNA (snRNA) component of the spliceosome (involved in pre-mRNA splicing).
Source: Ensembl
AUCGCUUCUCGGCCUUUUGGCUAAGAUCAAGUGUAGUAUCUGUUCUUAUCAGUUUAAUAUCUGAUACGUCCCCUACCCGGGGACCAUAUAUUAAAUUGAUUUUUGGAACUGGGAGAUGGAAUAGUAUGGAGGACCAAACCUGCCAUAUUUAUAAAUGAAUGAAUGAAUAAAUAAAUGUCCACAUCCAUGCAUUUAGACAGA